GCAGCAGCCACGGGAAUACGUAGGUGGCAAGCGUUGUCCGGAAUUAUUGGGCGUAAAGCGCGCGCAGGUGGUUUAAUAAGUCUGAUGUGAAAGCCCACGGCUCAACCGUGGAGGGUCAUUGGAAACUGUUAAACUUGAGUGCAGGAGAGAAAAGUGGAAUUCCUAGUGUAGCGGUGAAAUGCGUAGAGAUUAGGAGGAACACCAGUGGCGAAGGCGGCUUUUUGGCCUGUAACUGACACUGAGGCGCGAAAGCGUGGGGAGCAAACAGGAUUAGAUACCCCUGUAGUCCCUGUCUCUUAUAC
RNAcentral lists this ribosomal RNA (302 nucleotides) under uncultured bacterium. RNAcentral's name for it is "partial 16S ribosomal RNA". It matches the Rfam family "Bacterial small subunit ribosomal RNA", at positions 508 to 807 of the family's 1533-position model. The record is from RNAcentral.